CCUACGGGGUGCAGCAGUGGGGAAUAUUGCGCAAUGGGCGAAAGCCUGACGCAGCGACGCCGCGUGAGGGAUGAAGGUCUUCGGAUCGUAAACCUCUGUCAGCAGGGAAGCACGGUCACUGUGCUAAUCAGCAGUGAAUUGACGGUACCUGCAAAGGAAGCCCCGGCUAACUCCGUGCCCGCAGCCGCGGUAAUACGGAGGGUGCGAGCGGUAAUCGGUAUGACUGGGCGUAAAGCGCUCGUAGGCGGUAUGUCAAGUCAAGGGUGAAGUCCCCGCGCCCAACGUGGGAACGGCCUUUGAAACUGGCAGACUGGAGUGUGUGAGAGGUGAGUGGAAUUCGAGGUGUAGGAGUGAAAUCCGUAGAUAUCGGGAGGAACAUCAGUGGCGAAGGCGACUAUCUGGCACAUAACUGACGCUGAGGAGCGAAAGCGUGGGUAGCAAACAGGAUUAGAUACCCGAGUAGUC
RNAcentral lists this ribosomal RNA (465 nucleotides) under uncultured bacterium. RNAcentral's name for it is "partial 16S ribosomal RNA". It matches the Rfam family "Bacterial small subunit ribosomal RNA", at positions 338 to 795 of the family's 1533-position model. The record is from RNAcentral.